UGGAUCCAGACUUUGAUCCUGGCUCAGGAUGAACGCUAGCUACAGGCUUAACACAUGCAAGUCGAGGGGAAACGACAUCGAAAGCUUGCUUUUGAUGGGCGUCGACCGGCGCACGGGUGAGUAACGCGUAUCCAACCUGCCCAUCACUUGGGGAUAACCUUGCGAAAGUAAGACUAAUACCCAAUGAUAUCUCUAGAAGACAUCUGAAAGAGAUUAAAGAUUUAUCGGUGAUGGAUGGGGAUGCGUCUGAUUAGCUUGUUGGCGGGGUAACGGCCCACCAAGGCGACGAUCAGUAGGGGUUCUGAGAGGAAGGUCCCCCACAUUGGAACUGAGACACGGUCCAAACUCCUACGGGAGGCAGCAGUGAGGAAUAUUGGUCAAUGGACGAGAGUCUGAACCAGCCAAGUAGCGUGCAGGAUGACGGCCCUAUGGGUUGUAAACUGCUUUUAUAAGGGAAUAAAGUGAGAGUCGUGACUCUUUUUGCAUGUACCUUAUGAAUAAGGACCGGCUAAUUCCGUGCCAGCAGCCGCGGUAAUACGGAAGGUCCGGGCGUUAUCCGGAUUUAUUGGGUUUAAAGGGAGCGUAGGCCGGAGAUUAAGCGUGUUGUGAAAUGUAGACGCUCAACGUCUGCACUGCAGCGCGAACUGGUUUCCUUGAGUACGCACAAAGUGGGCGGAAUUCGUGGUGUAGCGGUGAAAUGCUUAGAUAUCACGAAGAACUCCGAUUGCGAAGGCAGCUCACUGGAGCGCAACUGACGCUGAAGCUCGAAAGUGCGGGUAUCGAACAGGAUUAGAUACCCUGGUAGUCCGCACGGUAAACGAUGGAUGCCCGCUGUUGGUCUGAAUAGGUCAGCGGCCAAGCGAAAGCAUUAAGCAUCCCACCUGGGGAGUACGCCGGCAACGGUGCAACUCAAAGGAAUUGACGGA
RNAcentral lists this ribosomal RNA (926 nucleotides) under uncultured Bacteroidota bacterium. RNAcentral's name for it is "bacterial SSU rRNA". It matches the Rfam family "Bacterial small subunit ribosomal RNA", at positions 1 to 917 of the family's 1533-position model. Lineage: Bacteria; Pseudomonadati; Bacteroidota. The record is from RNAcentral.